This 74-nucleotide transfer RNA is filed under the name Burkholderiales bacterium. RNAcentral describes it as "tRNA-Ser". The record is from RNAcentral. Lineage: Bacteria; Pseudomonadati; Pseudomonadota; Betaproteobacteria; Burkholderiales.
UCGGCGCGCUGGACGACGGGCAGUUGCGCCGGUUCGAGCUUCGCGCGCGCGAGUUCGGGCUCGCGGUGCUGGUC